Molecule: long non-coding RNA, 188 nt
Organism: Trichomycterus rosablanca
Lineage: Eukaryota; Metazoa; Chordata; Actinopteri; Siluriformes; Trichomycteridae
Exons: 2
Source: RefSeq, a predicted model, not a curated record
CAGGGAUUCUUCGAAUCAAACAGCCCUGCUCGGUCCGUGCGCUUGGGUCCGAACCACACUUCCCCACGUAACAGAAGCAUUAAGGUCCUAUUUACUGGAACUGGAACCUCCAAAAACGACCCAGAGCCUCAUUCCUGCUUCCUUCAUCAUGUCCUAAUAAACACUGGUACUGAAAAAAAGUAAGUGAA